AUUUAUAAAAAAAUUCAGAGCCCCGAGUCUCUGGAGAGAGAGCCAAGGAAACUACAUUUUAAACAAACGAGUGAAUUUGAAGCCCAUAGUGCUAAGGUGGUACAUGGCUCAAACUUCUUUAGGACAUGCACUCCUGGAUCAGGAGGUGUAAGCUAACUGAGUCAGCACAGGACUUUUGUCCUAGAAGAUGAUGAAAUGCUUUCCCGACUGAGUACAAAACUGGGACUGCAGCCACUUGGCCUGCUUUGAAAAGGGAAUACCAGGGAAGUAUAUUCAUUUCAUCCUUUCUAAACAACGGAUCCAGGAGACAGGUCUUAGAGUGGGAGACUGGAGUCACAGCCUGAGAAGUUGACCGUGGGAAGCAGGUGUUGCAUAUAGAGUGGCCCUACAGAUGUGUCAAGAACGGGAACCAACUAGAUCUCGCUCACCACAUGAUCAUGUCUCUUGAUUGUGACCAUACGUUCCUUUGUGUGGGGACUGUCAAAUCCCAUGGCUGUUGAAAGGAAAACAAACAUCUUCUGAUGGUCACUGUCCUUCAAAAUCUCCAGGUGAGAAAAGAGCCUCGUGACUCAGCCUACCUGUCUCAAGAGCAGACAUCAUCUUCUAAGACCACCCCUUCUGUUAAGCAGGGAAAGGAUGCUUGUGACCAGAGCUGGAGGUCUCGGCUUCAGAUGAUCUCCCGGAAGACCUACUAGGAUCCCUGUGUUUCCAAAUGUACAGCAAGAAAUCUGGACUAAGCUGCUACAAAUUCUUUACAUAGAAAAUCCCGGAAUCCUGCCAAAGAAUUGUUAUCUGAGAGAACUCCCAGUUGGCAUCAGAAAACUAAACAAAACUCUUUUGUUUUUAU
This 847-nucleotide long non-coding RNA is filed under the name Mus spicilegus (steppe mouse). RNAcentral describes it as "lncRNA (ENSMSIG00000004279.1)". The record is from RNAcentral. Lineage: Eukaryota; Metazoa; Chordata; Mammalia; Rodentia; Muridae.